This 292-nucleotide ribosomal RNA is filed under the name uncultured bacterium. RNAcentral's name for it is "partial 16S ribosomal RNA". It matches the Rfam family "Bacterial small subunit ribosomal RNA", at positions 505 to 796 of the family's 1533-position model. The record is from RNAcentral.
GUGUCAGCAGCCGCGGUAAUACGAAGGGUGCAAGCGUUAAUCGGAAUUACUGGGCGUAAAGCGCGCGUAGGUGGUUCAGCAAGUUGGAUGUGAAAGCCCUGGGCUCAACCUGGGAACUGCAUCCAAAACUACUGAGCUAGAGUACGGUAGAGGGUAGUGGAAUUUCCUGUGUAGCGGUGAAAUGCGUAGAUAUAGGAAGGAACACCAGUGGCGAAGGCGACUACCUGGACUGAUACUGACACUGAGGUGCGAAAGCGUGGGGAGCAAACAGGAUUAGAAACCCUAGUAGUCC